Unclassified non-coding RNA from Ochotona princeps (American pika), 319 nucleotides. Its record names the gene 7SK. It matches the Rfam family "7SK RNA". Rfam says of the family: 7SK was discovered as an abundant small nuclear RNA in the mid-70s but a possible function has only recently been suggested. Two independent studies have found that 7SK RNA binds the CDK9/cyclin T complex (known as elongation factor P-TEFb). The record is from Ensembl. Lineage: Eukaryota; Metazoa; Chordata; Mammalia; Lagomorpha; Ochotonidae.
AGAUGUGAUGAGUGAUCUGAGUGCGACAUCUGUCUGCUCACUGAUCUCCAGGGCUGAUUUGGCUGAUCUGGCAGGCUAGGGCGGGUGUCCCCUUCCUCCUUCAUUGCUCCACGUCCAUCCCUCCUGAGACUGCGCGCUGGGUCGAAGAGGAAGACCAUCCCCGCUAGAGGAGGACUCGUCUUUGGUCAAGGUAUACGAGUAGCUGCGCUCCCUGUUAAGAACCUCCAAACAAGCUCUCAAGGUCCAUUUACUGGUAACCCAAAUGCCUGUAACAGGCGGAGUUGGACCAGGGUUAAGCCAGGAAGCUAGAACGGAAUCU